CGCUGUGGUCCGGAGUCAGUGGGUUAUCCUCACUUUGCGUUCCCUGAAAAGGGAAGUGCCCGCAAGGGCACAUCUCCCCAUUGGCGAUCACUUGACCACACU
RNAcentral lists this small RNA (102 nucleotides) under Ancylostoma ceylanicum. RNAcentral's name for it is "Nematode sRNA ceN72-3_ceN74-2". It matches the Rfam family "Nematode sRNA ceN72-3_ceN74-2". Lineage: Eukaryota; Metazoa; Nematoda; Chromadorea; Rhabditida; Ancylostomatidae. The record is from Rfam by way of RNAcentral.